Long non-coding RNA from Sardina pilchardus (European sardine), 400 nucleotides. RefSeq lists it as uncharacterized. NCBI's taxonomy places the organism in Eukaryota, Metazoa, Chordata, Actinopteri, Clupeiformes, Clupeidae. The transcript has 3 exons. The record is from RefSeq and is a predicted model, not a curated record.
CACUGAAGUUCCCCUUCUACGUUUUAAUUUAAGCAAGUGUGAAAGAGAAUGUGUGAGAUAGAGAGGGAGAGAGGACGUCUGAGUGCACUGCCAACCAGGACUGGAAGCACAGGAUUCCUCACACUCCAGGCCUACGGAGCAGAGAGGCCAGACCGUCUUCCCCUGGCAGACCAGACAAUCGUUGCAAGAUGCCCACCAAUCCAGUUGCCCGUACUCCGGCUAAUGAUCACAUGGCCAAAGAACCGCGCCUUCCCCUACGAUUGCUCACCCCUGACCUUUGGAACCUGAGGGCCUUGGAUAACUCGCAGAGGAAGGAGAGCAUACUGCGGGUGUCUUCUUCCAUCUUUUUUCCUCCAAGGAAGGAGAAAGCAAGGUGCAGAGAGAGAGAGAGAGAGAGAGA